RNAcentral lists this small RNA (569 nucleotides) under Pan troglodytes (chimpanzee). RNAcentral describes it as "processed transcript". Lineage: Eukaryota; Metazoa; Chordata; Mammalia; Primates; Hominidae. The record is from RNAcentral.
GCUAGAGAUGCUGCACGCUGCUAACAAGGGAAGGAAGCCUUCAGCUGAGGCAGGUCGUCCCAUUCCACCUACAUCCUCGCCUAGUCUCCUCCCAUCUGCUCAGCUGCCUAGCUCCCAUAAUCCUCCACCAGUUAGCUGCCAGAUGCCAUUGCUAGACAGCAACACCUCCCAUCAAAUCAUGGACACCAACCCUGAUGAGGAAUUCUCCCCCAAUUCAUACCUGCUCAGAGCAUGCUCAGGGCCCCAGCAAGCCUCCAGCAGUGGCCCUCCGAACCACCACAGCCAGUCGACUCUGAGGCCCCCUCUCCCACCCCCUCACAACCACACGCUGUCCCAUCACCACUCGUCCGCCAACUCCCUCAACAGGAACUCACUGACCAAUCGGCGGAGUCAGAUCCACGCCCCGGCCCCAGCGCCCAAUGACCUGGCCACCACACCAGAGUCUGUUCAGCUUCAGGACAGCUGGGUGCUAAACAGCAACGUGCCACUGGAGACCCGGCACUUCCUCUUCAAGACCUCCUCGGGGAGCACACCCUUGUUUAGCAGCUCUUCCCCGGGAUACCCUUUGA